Dermacentor silvarum is the source of this 1240-nucleotide long non-coding RNA. RefSeq lists it as uncharacterized. The record is from RefSeq and is a predicted model, not a curated record. NCBI's taxonomy places the organism in Eukaryota, Metazoa, Arthropoda, Arachnida, Ixodida, Ixodidae. The transcript is spliced from 13 exons.
UAUAUCCCGACAUGCCUCUCGGCUGGUUUGCCGUUGCCGUCGGACCGGCCAGUCUUUAUUCUAUGCUUUUCUCUUGUGGUGGUUGGCGUGUUGUAGCAGCGCUCGUUGUGGGGCAUCUUCGAGUCAAUCCAUUUCCAUCGUUUCAAGUAUGAAUCGUGUACCUGCGGCUGUUCAGGGUGCCGGUAACACGACACCACGUGUGCACCGGACAGCACGGCGGCCACGGCAUGUACGAACUGACCCUGCUGGUGUAAGCUGAACGCUGUGCUGUGAAGGCACCGGACAGCACGGCGGCCACGGCAUAUACGAACUGACCCUGCUGGUGUAAGCUGAACGCUGUGCUGUGAAGGGGCAACAACCUGCACUCUCACUGUAAGAGGACAAGGAGGAAGUAAAACAAGACAGGUGGACCUGAGGGCUGGUGGUUGUAGCAUCUGCCUCAUCUCAAUGGUUACCUCGAAAUGCCCGUGCAGUCUUGCAAUCACUGAGAAGGCUUUCCAGUGCCUUGGCUACUGUUAGUGGGCUUUCCAGUGCCUUGGCUACUGUUAGUGGGCUUUCCAGUGCCUUGGCUACUGUAGCGGGUGAGUAGCUGAUGAAUUGCAUAUUACCCCAGUCCUACUUUUCAUGCGGAUCAAUGUUUUUGACAUCUCAACUUGCUACUGGUGCUAUUGGUUUUAUUCUAGGCUUUCUGCAGGGCCUUGUCUGCUCUGGUGGGUGUGUCCUUUUCCUUUUUUUUUAUAUGCAGAAGUGAUUUUUUUUUUGUAAUGGCAACCUCUGCGUAUCAUACUGCAAAAGUUGUGUCAAUUACUUCUAGCUUACAAUUUUAACAUUUAAAACUAUUUUUAGUAGUUUACCACCAGCAAGAUCUUCCUAAGCCAGUUCUCGUGAGCCAGCUGGUAUGUUUUGUGUGAAGAUUGCUAGGUACUUCCCAUAGGUGCAAAAAUGGUUUUUGAUCAUUAUUCCUGCAGGUACAGCGGAUGAAAGCCACUGCAUCUUCACAAGACAGCUUUUGGAGAAAUAAAGUUUUCAUUCAGACUUUCUAUUGCCACUGCUCCUACUGGUUGCAAACCACUAAGUGCGAUAGGACGAGCUUGGCCAUGAUUUUAGUUUCAUUUAUGUGUCUUUAUAAGUUAUAAAUUGUAGCUUUAGUACCUGCCCGCAAAAAUAAAACCAGAAUUUUAAAUAUUGCUAAAUUUCGGCCGCAUUAUUAGGAAAACUAAGUUACAUGAACGAAAUUUUG